UAAAGGAUGAAUGGAGUGAUGACAGGAUGCAAGAAGUGCAUUUUAGCUUGGGGAUUUUGAGAGGGAAAGAACAUGGGAUUUGCAUCUGAAGACAUGGGUUCAAGCCCUGAAUCAUCUGUUUACUAGCUCUCUGUGUCACCAUUUUCUCAUUUAUCAAAAGAGAGAAUAAUAUUGAUCUUGCCUACUUUGAGGGAGUAAGCACAGCAGUGGAAUCAGAGAGGAAGUACCACAGCAUGGAAGAGGAGAAGGAAUAUUUGGAGGCAGAUAACCUUGGCAGAGUUGUGUCACUUUCUGCUUGUUCAUUUAGUCUUCUCUCAAGGAGGCUUAAACAUUGCAGACAUCACUUCCACCAGCCACCAUGGAUUCUUCUUCUUCUAAUGCUUAUUAACUGUAUGAUCCUGAACAAAUCAUGUAAUCUCCUUGGACCUCGGUUUUCUUGUCUUCAAAAUGAGACUAGACGAUUUCUAAGACCACUUCCUUUCUAAAUCUAUAAUACUAUGAUUCUAAUAUACUAUUUUUAAAAGACAUUUUCCUAAUUACAUAUAAUAACAAUUUUCAACAUACAUUUUUUGACAUUGUAAGAUCCAAAAUGUUUCCUUCCAUCCCUUCCCACCCCAUUCCAGGAGAUGGUAAGCAAUUUGAUUAGGGUUAUACAUGUAUUAUCAUGCAAAACAUGAUUCCAUAUUGGUCAUUGGUAUAAGAGAACACUCAUAUGAAGCCAAAACCCAUUUGAGGAUUUCUUGGCACAUAUCCUAAGAGUGGUUUGCCAUUUCCUUCUCCAGUUCUUUUUUACAGAUCUGGAAAGUGAGGUAAAUGGGUUUAAGAGACUUGCUUAGGGUUACAGGGCUAAUAAAUGUCUGAGACUGCAUUUGAACUCA
This 878-nucleotide long non-coding RNA is filed under the name Monodelphis domestica (gray short-tailed opossum). RNAcentral describes it as "lncRNA (ENSMODG00000030032.2)". The record is from RNAcentral. Lineage: Eukaryota; Metazoa; Chordata; Mammalia; Didelphimorphia; Didelphidae.